CCGCGGUAAAACCAGCUCCCCGAGGGGUUCCCACGCAUACUGGGCCUAAAGCGUCCGUAGCCGGCCCUGUAAGUCUGCAGUUAAAUCCGCCUGUAGACAGGCGGGUUGCUGCAGAUACUGCAGGGCUAGGGAGCGGGAGGAGCCGGGGGUAUUCCCGGGGGAGCGGWAAAAUGCKUAGAUCCCGGGAGGACCACCAGUGGCGAAGGCGCCCRGCUUGAACGCGUCCGACGGUGAGGGACGAAAGCUGGGGGAGCAAACCGGAUUAGAUACCCGGGUAGUCCCAGCCGUAAACGAUGCCGGCUAGGUGCUGGCCAAGGUUUCGGCCUUGGCCAGUGUCGAAGCGAAGGCAUUAAGCCGGCCGCCUGAGGAGUACGGCCGCAAGGCUGAAACUUGAAGGAAUUGACGGGGGGGCACCACAAGGGGUGAAUGCCUGCGGCUUAAUUGGACUCAACGCCGGGAAUCUUACCGGGGGCGACAGCAGGAUGAAGGUCAGGCUGAAGACCUUACCAGACGCGCCGAGGGGUGGUGCAUGGCCGUCGCCAGCUCGUGCCGUGAGGUGUCCUGUUAAGUCAGGCAACGAGCGAGACCCCCGCCCCUAGUUGCCAGCGGCCUCCUUCGGGAGGGACCGGGCAAACUAGGGGGACCGCCUCCGAAGAGGAGGAGGAAGGUGGGGGCUACGGCAGGUCAGUAUGCCCCUAAUCCCCCGGGCCGCACGCGGGCU
RNAcentral lists this ribosomal RNA (721 nucleotides) under uncultured korarchaeote. RNAcentral describes it as "bacterial SSU rRNA". It matches the Rfam family "Archaeal small subunit ribosomal RNA", at positions 465 to 1181 of the family's 1478-position model. The record is from RNAcentral. Lineage: Archaea; Thermoproteati; Thermoproteota.